UCUCUCUCUCUCUCUCUCCCCCCCUAUUAUUUCUCUCUCUCCUUCUCUAUGCACUUUUUUUUUCCUCUCUUUCCCCAUCUUAAUAUCUCUUCAUAGCCCUUCCACACAACAGACAGAACCACCACAGACAGAAAUCCAAGCACAACAAGCUAUUUCAUUGCAACAAAUAAAAGAGAUACAUUAGCUAAAUCAGAGAAAACAAAAGAUGUGAGAUUUCCUGGGACAUCUUCCAUCCGAAAUCUCUUAUUACUCUCAUAUACAAGUAAAGCCUCCUUUGCUUUUGUUUCAUCAAUUAUAAUUUCAAUUUCAAUGCCCCAAAAGUUCCACAAGUUCAAUGUUCCCCAAACAUACCAAAAAAUUCCCCAAAUAUCUCUAUCUCUCCUCUCCUAAUUUCAUCAAUUAUAAUUUCACCAGUCAUCCAUAUCAGUUAAAAAGAAGAAGAAGAAGAAGA
RNAcentral lists this unclassified non-coding RNA (451 nucleotides) under Hevea brasiliensis (rubber tree). Lineage: Eukaryota; Viridiplantae; Streptophyta; Magnoliopsida; Malpighiales; Euphorbiaceae. The record is from RNAcentral.